GACGAACGCUGGCGGCGUGCUUAACACAUGCAAGUCGAGCGGUAAGGCCCUUUCGGGGGUACACGAGCGGCGAACGGGUGAGUAACACGUGGGUGACCUGCCCUCAGCUCUGGGAUAAGCCUGGGAAACUGGGUCUAAUACUGGAUAUGACUCCACGGUGCAUGUCGUGGGGUGGAAAGCCUUGUGCGGCUGAGGAUGGGCCCGCGGCCUAUCAGCUUGUUGGUGGGGUGANGGCCUACCAAGGCGACGACGGGUAGCCGGCCUGAGAGGGCGACCGGCCACACUGGGACUGAGACACGGCCCAGACUCCUACGGGAGGCAGCAGUGGGGAAUCUUGCGCAAUGGGCGAAAGCCUGACGCAGCGACGCCGCGUGAGGGAUGACGGCCUCGGUUGU
Molecule: ribosomal RNA, 395 nt
Filed under: uncultured bacterium
Lineage: Bacteria
Description: bacterial SSU rRNA
Rfam family: Bacterial small subunit ribosomal RNA
Source: RNAcentral